RNAcentral lists this ribosomal RNA (474 nucleotides) under uncultured bacterium. RNAcentral describes it as "SSU rRNA". It matches the Rfam family "Bacterial small subunit ribosomal RNA", at positions 26 to 518 of the family's 1533-position model. The record is from RNAcentral.
AGGACGAACGCUGGCGGCGUGCUUAACACAUGCAAGUCGAGCGGAAAGGCCCUUCGGGGUACUCGAGCGGCGAACGGGUGAGUAACACGUGAGUAAUCUGCCCCUAGCUCUGGGAUAGCUCCGGGAAACCGGGAUUAAUACCAGAUACGACCACUUUAGACAUCUGUUGUGGUGGAAAGAAUUUUGGCUAGGGAUGAGCUCGCGGCCUAUCAGCUUGUUGGUGAGGUAACGGCUCACCAAGGCGACGACGGGUAGCCGGCCUGAGAGGGCGACCGGCCACGACUGGGACUGAGACACGGCCCAGACUCCUACGGGAGGCAGCAGUGGGGAAUAUUGCGCAAUGGGCGAAAGCCUGACGCAGCGACGCCGCGUGGGGGAUGAAGGCCUUCGGGUUGUAAACCCCUUUCAGCAGGGACGAAGCGAAAGUGACGGUACCUGCAGAAGAAGCGCCGGCUAACUACGUGCCGCAGCCGC